ACAUGCAAGUAGAACGCUGAAGAGAGGAGCUUGCUCUUCUUGGAUGAGUUGCGAACGGGUGAGUAACGCGUAGGUAACCUGCCUUGUAGCGGGGGAUAACUAUUGGAAACGAUAGCUAAUACCGCAUAACAAUAGGUGACACAUGUCAUUUAUUUGAAAGGGGCAAUUGCUCCACUACAAGAUGGACCUGCGUUGUAUUAGCUAGUAGGUGAGGUAACGGCUCACCUAGGCGACGAUACAUAGCCGACCUGAGAGGGUGAUCGGCCACACUGGGACUGAGACACGGCCCAGACUCCUACGGGAGGCAGCAGUAGGGAAUCUUCGGCAAUGGGGGCAACCCUGACCGAGCAACGCCGCGUGAGUGAAGAAGGUUUUCGGAUCGUAAAGCUCUGUUGUAAGUCAAGAACGAGUGUGAGAGUGGAAAGUUCACACUGUGACGGUAGCUUACCAGAAAGGGACGGCUAACUACGUGCCAGCAGCCGCGGUAAUACGUAGGUCCCGAGCGUUGUCCGGAUUUAUUGGGCGUAAAGCGAGCGCAGGCGGUUUGAUAAGUCUGAAGUUAAAGGCUGUGGCUCAACCAUAGUUCGCUUUGGAAACUGUCAAACUUGAGUGCAGAAGGGGAGAGUGGAAUUCCAUGUGUAGCGGUGAAAUGCGUAGAUAUAUGGAGGAACACCGGUGGCGAAAGCGGCUCUCUGGUCUGUAACUGACGCUGAGGCUCGAAAGCGUGGGGAGCGAACAGGAUUAGAUACCCUGGUAGUCCACGCCGUAAACGAUGAGUGCUAGGUGUUGGAUCCUUUCCGGGAUUCAGUGCCGCAGCUAACGCAUUAAGCACUCCGCCUGGGGAGUACGACCGCAAGGUUGAAACUCAAGGAAUUGACGGGGCCCGC
RNAcentral lists this ribosomal RNA (887 nucleotides) under uncultured bacterium. Its description in RNAcentral is "bacterial SSU rRNA". It matches the Rfam family "Bacterial small subunit ribosomal RNA", at positions 53 to 924 of the family's 1533-position model. The record is from RNAcentral.